UCGGCAUCAGCGUGCUCCGGGC
RNAcentral lists this non-coding RNA (22 nucleotides) under Arabidopsis thaliana (thale cress). The record is from RNAcentral. Lineage: Eukaryota; Viridiplantae; Streptophyta; Magnoliopsida; Brassicales; Brassicaceae.